RNAcentral lists this long non-coding RNA (1200 nucleotides) under Anas platyrhynchos platyrhynchos (common mallard). Its description in RNAcentral is "lncRNA (ENSAPLG00000023426.1)". Lineage: Eukaryota; Metazoa; Chordata; Aves; Anseriformes; Anatidae. The record is from RNAcentral.
CAGGAGGACAAGCAGAGCACACCCCACCCCCACGACCCUCCCACCUCCCUCUGCCCGCUGCCAGCCCGCCACCCUCCCUUAAAUACCCCCCCGCGCGCCUCUCCCCUGUCACGUGCCCGGAGGGGCGGCACCCUAUUGGCCGAGGGGCGGGCGGGCGGCUCCUCCCCCCCUCCCUCUCCUUCCCGCCCUCCUCACGUGAGGGGGGCGAGUCACGCGAUUUCCGGGAACCCGUCAGGAAGGGACAUAAACAAAACAAACCCGCAGCCGCAUGGAGGGUCCGGCCCGCAGCCCGCGGGGCGGCGCCCCCUGCUGAGCCCCGGCCGCUCGGUGAGUGCUGGGCCGCGGGGAGGGAACGGAGGCGCCGGGACUCGGCCUCACCCAGCCCCGGGGCGGGGGGGGGGGGGGGCCCCGGUGGCCUGGCGGGGCCCCGGGGGGGGGGGGGGGGGGGGGGGGGGGGACCCCUGGGGGGGGGGUGAGGAGGAGGAGGAGGAGGCCGUGAGGGGGGUGCGGGCAGCGAGGGCUGGGGCUCGCCAAGCGGCUGGGAGCGGAGCCGCAGCAGCCCCGCCGCCCGCUGGCUGCACAGCCGGGGGGGUGUGGCUGUGCCGCUGCUCGGAGCUGCGGGGGGCUGCCCGCGUCCCCACGGGCCGGGGUCGGGCUGCGGGCUGCUGGGGAGCCCCUGCAGGCUGGCGGGAGCAGCCCGGGGCCGUGCGGGCUGAGGGAGCCGCGGGACGGCUCCGGGCUCCUUGUGAGGGGGCCCCUCCCCGGGGUGCCGCCGGCCGCACUCGUGCUCCGGGACGCCGCCGCCCCGCCGCGCUGCCUCCUCUCCAGCCCCCCGCUUCCCACCUGUUGCAGCCGGGAGGCUCCGGCUGUAACCCACAGCGGGGGCCGGGGCCUUUCUACUCGCCCCCGGGGCUGCGCGGAGCCGCCCGGGCGGGCCGCGGGGCUGCACCGGCGACCGGCGGCAGCCCGCGGGGACGGAGCAUCGCCGGGGGGAGCGGUGGGGGGGGGGGUGCCGGCCGUCCCCAGCCCCCGGGAGGGCCGCAGGGCGGGGGGCGGCCCCCACAGGGCAGGGGGAGCCCCCGGCUCGCUGCCCGCCGGGCCUGGGGGGGGCCGGGACGCGGGGCCCGGUGCGGGCCGGGGGCGCUGCCCCGCGGCGCGGCGGAAGGGGGUUUGUUUACAUGUCGCCUCAGCCAAGCUUGA